GCUCAGAUGGCGGAAUUGGUAUACGUGCUAGCUUCAGGUGCUAGUGAGGCUUUGCCUCAUGAGGGUUCGAGUCCCUUUCUGAGCACCA
This 88-nucleotide transfer RNA is filed under the name candidate division SR1 bacterium. Its description in RNAcentral is "tRNA-Leu". It matches the Rfam family "tRNA". Rfam says of the family: Transfer RNA (tRNA) molecules are approximately 80 nucleotides in length. The record is from RNAcentral. Lineage: Bacteria; Candidatus Absconditibacteriota.